UACCAGCACCCCGAGUGGUCGGGACGAUUAUUGGGCCUAAAGCAUCCGUAGCCGGUUUUACAAGUCCUCCGUUAAAUCCAGCUGCUUAACAGAUGGGCUGCGGAGGAUACUAUAAGACUAGGAGGCAGGAGAGGCAAGCGGUACUCAGUGGGUAGGGGUAAAAUCCGUUGAUCCAUUGAAGAACACCAGUGGCGAAGGCGGCUUGCCAGAAUACGCUCGACGGUGAGGGAUGAAAGCUGGGGGAGCAAACCGG
Molecule: ribosomal RNA, 253 nt
Filed under: uncultured bacterium
Lineage: Bacteria
Description: partial 16S ribosomal RNA
Rfam family: Archaeal small subunit ribosomal RNA
Source: RNAcentral